Brachypodium distachyon (stiff brome) is the source of this 2042-nucleotide long non-coding RNA. RefSeq lists it as uncharacterized. NCBI's taxonomy places the organism in Eukaryota, Viridiplantae, Streptophyta, Magnoliopsida, Poales, Poaceae. The transcript is spliced from 2 exons. The record is from RefSeq and is a predicted model, not a curated record.
GCCUUUACUCUUUACACUGUAGCUGGUAUAGAAGAACCAAGUAAAUUAAUUUUUUGAUAAUUGGAUGAUGGAACGCCGUUAUUAACAUCCUUUCAUGUUAAUCAAUAGCAAUUUUCAGUAGCAUGCUAACUGCUAAGUAGUUUCUGGAGUUCAUUAAUUUCAUCUUUCCGUUCCAAUUAUAUUUAUUUAAAUGUGUUUGAAAUCCUAAUAUUCCCGGUCACUUCUGUUACUAUGAUUUAUAGCACUCCCUCCAUUUCACAAAGGUUCGUGUAUUUGGUUUCGUUAAGACAAGCCUUUGAUAAAAAAUUACUCUAUUAAUAUGUAAGUCAUAUGAUACGAAACCGUAGCAAUGCUUUUCUUUCUUAACAGCAACAGUGGCCAUGCAAUUCGAAUUUGAGUUCUUUCAUGAGUUAGCUUCUAAAAGAAAUUGAACGUCUGGCUUCUUCCUGACAAAAGAAAAACAGACAAUUCGGAAUUUUGUGAUCCAGACAGGAAUAAUAGGUCAUGGAAACCCGUUGUUUUUAUUAUUGCUGUUUUACAGUCAGUACAGCCUUUCACCAUCCUGUAAUAAAUAAAUCCCAUGAUCCUUCCCACCAGCAGUUCUUCAAAUCAUAUUAUUAUUCUUCAAACUCAAAAGUAAAAAAAAAAGUCAAUUGGCAUUAGAGGGAUCCACUUCACUUCAUGCAGUCACGCACACACGCUGCCUCGUCGUCUGCUGCUGCAAAUGCAAAAUAAAUCAUCAUCAGAGAAAGAAAGAAGAAGGCCAAAUAAAAGAACAAAAUAUCAUGCAUGUAGUGUAUCAUCGUCGUCGAUCGAUCUCCAGCGAGCGAUCAUCGGCUUACCGUUGUGCGGCUGGGCGCCGCAGACGGAGAUGGCGGCGCAGGCGAUCUCGCACAUGGCGGCGCGCUCGCCGCCGUGGCCGCGGUGGACGGCGGCGUCCGGGCUGUUGGCGCAUUUCUUGGCGCGGUUGAACAUGCAGACCAGCUUCGGCGCAUGGCGCCGGCACUCGGCGAAGCAAGGGUCGUAGCACUGGCAGAAACUGGACGGCUCCCACGCGGCAGCAGCCGCCUGCCGCUGCAGUGACAGCAGGAAGAGCACGCAUAGGGCGGCCAUGGCGGUCGUCGCUCUUGCCUUGGACGCCAUCUUCUUCCUCUCGCAGACAGACACCGAUAGCUCGAGCUUGAGCUUCAGGAACAAACAAUGGGACAAUGGAGAUUGGAGAAGAGGAGUGAUGUGCCUCAGCAUGUGUAGGGGAGGCCUUAUAUAGCACUGAUGUUGGUUCCGAGGGGCGAUAUCGACAUUUCACCCCGGGUAAUUCAUGAUGAAGCUGAGAUGCAUAUCUAGUGUUUUUUCGCCGUUUUGCAGAUAAUCAAACGGUGGCGAUUUCCUGGCCCUGAAUUCUCCUAUAUAUGUGUCGUCUUUUCGGCGAAGGAAUGGUGAUAGUGGAGUGUGUCAUGUAGCCAGCUUUGUUUUCUCAGGCAAGCCCUUGUGAAGCAAGCCGCGUGUGUCGUGGAAAGAAAACAGAAAUCAGUUCUGAUAAAAAAAUAUGGUAUGGCGUAUCAGUGAAGGUGUUUGCCUGUUUAGCUGUACAGUACAGCUGCAGGAAGGUGCAUGAGUGUCAGGCAUCUAGAUUUCAUUCCGGUGGCUGUGAUGCUGAAAUGGUUUGUUCGUUGUAGCUCACUGUGCAGGAGACCUGUGACGUGCUCCAUAAGGAAAUUGACCCCCUAUGUAUCAUGCCCUCUUCAAUUGUGAGGUGGUGGGCUUGCAGUAAUUGAACUUGCCGCGGUCACUUGUGAACUGGGAAUGUAUGUUUCAAGUUAUUGUUAACUUCCAUUUGCUAUCUGGUUUAUGUACCAACUGGUAAUGAAGGCAAAUCGACUUGCUUUGAUUGCUCUGUGACUGCCAGUUAAUCUUGCAGUUAGUUUCUUCGUGCUUAGAUUUUGUGGUCUGCUGUACACAUCUUUGAGAUAAAAAUAUGUAUCCUUGAGUCAUGUGACAUUGGAUCUCUGUUUAUAUGGCAUGUUGUUUAAUUUUGUAUGUGA